GAACUUUUGUAGAAGCUGCUGUAGUUUUGCUGAACAAGGAUGGUGUCUUAGGGAGAACCCUAAAGUUGUCUCCUGAGACUUGGAUGGAGUUUCUAUUGAAGGAUCUCUGCUGUAGGACGAGCAUUUUACACAGCCCUGUUCCUGGGUCGCUGCCUGCAAGAUGAAGUCUCUCUGCAGCUUUGAAGCAACUUGGUUUGGCUGGGAAUGCUGCUGCACAAGACCUACCAACUAUUUCAAAGUGUGGGGCCAGAAGACGUGGAUGCAGGUCAAGAACAAGGAUCCAACAGAAGGCUCAAAAGACUUGCACUCACUGGUCACUGGUUCCAGGUUAUGGCAGCCAAUGGAAGCAUCAACACCAGCACCACAAAACUCAGCCCUUGUAACAGUAGGUGAAGUCUCCUGAUCAGUAGAGGGGAAAUCCAUAGGAGACUGAAACCUUUUCUUCCUUGGGCCAAGAGGAAGUCUCCAUCCACAGCAUCUGGAAUAUUUCUAACGUGCAACCCAAACAUAAUAAAGGUGUGAAGGCCAAAAAUGGGAAACA
RNAcentral lists this long non-coding RNA (541 nucleotides) under Athene cunicularia (burrowing owl). RNAcentral's name for it is "lncRNA (ENSACUG00000001286.1)". The record is from RNAcentral. Lineage: Eukaryota; Metazoa; Chordata; Aves; Strigiformes; Strigidae.